GCCACUGCCUGCAUCACGGGCCUCCGAGGGCACUGCCAAGUUUUUCACGGGGAAAAGGAGUUUGUGCACAUCUGACAAUUUCCCACACAUGCCCUGCAGAGGCCGGCGAGAUGCGGAGUCCGCGGCUGCAGGGUAGAUCCCCUCCUCUGCCCCGCUCUGGGCCGAGCCCUUGGCCAGGUGGGGACCGGCGCGGAUAUGUCUCCGCUGGGCCUGCAGGCGGCGAGACUUACUUGGGUAGCGAUAGUAGAAUUCGUUCUCCACGUCGCUCAAGUUCUUGUGCGUCCUCUCUGACCACCAGUGGGCGUCGGCCUCGAAGUCGUAGCGCACGAACACCCCGAAGAGAAUCACCAUAACCACCUGCAGGAGCAGGCAGGGCACAUGAAAAACAAGGAAUGUUUGGGACACUGUCACACAACAGAGCGGCCU
RNAcentral lists this long non-coding RNA (426 nucleotides) under Pan troglodytes (chimpanzee). Its description in RNAcentral is "long non-coding RNA NONPTRT005499". The record is from RNAcentral. Lineage: Eukaryota; Metazoa; Chordata; Mammalia; Primates; Hominidae.